RNAcentral lists this ribosomal RNA (540 nucleotides) under Phallus cremeo-ochraceus. RNAcentral describes it as "Phallus sp. TL-2021a partial large subunit ribosomal RNA". It matches the Rfam family "Eukaryotic large subunit ribosomal RNA", at positions 410 to 919 of the family's 3401-position model. The record is from RNAcentral. Lineage: Eukaryota; Fungi; Basidiomycota; Agaricomycetes; Phallales; Phallaceae.
GAAAGGGAAACGCUUGAAGUCAGUCGCGUCUCUCGGGACUCGGUCGCCACCCCUCGCGGGGAGGGCGGCGUACUUCCCGGGUAUGGACGGGCCAGCGUCGAUUUCGACCGUCGUACAAAGGCGCGAGGAACGUGGCACCUUCGGGUGUGUUAUAGCCUCGCGUUUCCGUAUGCGACGGUGGGGAUCGAGGGUCGCAGCGCGCCUCUAACGGUCGGGGUUCGCCCACGUAACGCGCUUGGGACGCUGGCUUAAUGGCUUCAAGCGACCCGUCUUGAAACACGGACCAAGGAGUCUAACAUGCUCGCGAGUGUUCGGGUGGAAAACCCGCGCGCGUAAUGAAAGUGAAAGGUUGGGACCCCCUUUCUCCAAAGGGGGGCACCGACGCCCGGACUUGAGCUGCUGCGACGGUUCCGAGGCGGAGCGCGUAUGUUGGGACCCGAAAGAUGGUGAACUAUGCCUGAGUAGGGCGAAGCCAGAGGAAACUCUGGUGGAGGCUCGUAGCGAUUCUGACGUGCAAAUCGAUCGUCGAACUUGGGUAUA